RNAcentral lists this unclassified non-coding RNA (390 nucleotides) under soil metagenome. Its description in RNAcentral is "partial contains 5.8S ribosomal RNA, internal transcribed spacer 2, and large subunit ribosomal RNA". The stretch from base 1 to 122 matches the Rfam family "5.8S ribosomal RNA", at positions 35 to 154 of the family's 154-position model. The record is from RNAcentral.
GAUGUAGAACGUAGCGAAAUGCGAUACUUGGUGUGAAUUGCAGAAUCCCGUGAACCAUCGAGUCUUUGAACGCAAGUUGCGCCCGAAGCCAUUAGGCCGAGGGCACGCCUGCCUGGGCGUCACACGUCGUUGCCCCCCCAUCUACUCCUUCGGGAUUGCGGGGGGCGGAUGAUGGCCUCCCGUGCGCCUCGUCGCGCGGUUGGCAUAAAUGCCAAGUCCUCGGCGACGCACGCCACGACAAUCGGUGGUUGCGAAACCUCGGUUGCCCGUCGUGUGCGGUCGUCGCGCAUCGAGGGCUCGAAAAAAUUGUCGGGCUCCGGCUCGGCUUUCAACGCGACCCCAGGUCAGGCGGGGUUACCCGCUGAAUUUAAGCAUAUCAAUAAGCGGAGA